This 548-nucleotide ribosomal RNA is filed under the name Pichia kudriavzevii. RNAcentral's name for it is "partial large subunit ribosomal RNA". It matches the Rfam family "Eukaryotic large subunit ribosomal RNA", at positions 84 to 515 of the family's 3401-position model. Lineage: Eukaryota; Fungi; Ascomycota; Pichiomycetes; Pichiales; Pichiaceae. The record is from RNAcentral.
UAGCGGCGAGUGAAGCGGCAAGAGCUCAGAUUUGAAAUCGUGCUUUGCGGCACGAGUUGUAGAUUGCAGGUUGGAGUCUGUGUGGAAGGCGGUGUCCAAGUCCCUUGGAACAGGGCGCCCAGGAGGGUGAGAGCCCCGUGGGAUGCCGGCGGAAGCAGUGAGGCCCUUCUGACGAGUCGAGUUGUUUGGGAAUGCAGCUCCAAGCGGGUGGUAAAUUCCAUCUAAGGCUAAAUACUGGCGAGAGACCGAUAGCGAACAAGUACUGUGAAGGAAAGAUGAAAAGCACUUUGAAAAGAGAGUGAAACAGCACGUGAAAUUGUUGAAAGGGAAGGGUAUUGCGCCCGACAUGGGGAUUGCGCACCGCUGCCUCUCGUGGGCGGCGCUCUGGGCUUUCCCUGGGCCAUCAUCGGUUCUUGCUGCACGAGAAGGGGUUCUGGAACGUGGCUCUUCUGAGUGUUAUAGCCACGGCCAGAUGCUGCGUGCGGGGACCGAUGGCUGCGGCUUCGCCCCUCCACUAUGCAGGCCUGACGGCGUCUUUUCCUGCUUUC